Unclassified non-coding RNA from Cercocebus atys (sooty mangabey), 278 nucleotides. It matches the Rfam family "Metazoan signal recognition particle RNA". From Rfam's summary of the family: The signal recognition particle (SRP) is a universally conserved ribonucleoprotein. It is involved in the co-translational targeting of proteins to membranes. Lineage: Eukaryota; Metazoa; Chordata; Mammalia; Primates; Cercopithecidae. The record is from Ensembl.
GCCAGGUGCAGUGGCUCACACCUGUAAUCCCAGCACACUCCGGGAGGCCGAGGCAGGUGGAUCACUUGAGCUUAGGAGUUUUGAGACAAGCCUGGCCAACAUCGUGAAACCUGUCUCUACAAAAAAUUAGCUGGGAUUACAGGGAUUCACGCCUAUAAUCCCAGCUACUCAGGUGGCUGAGGUAUGAGAAUCACUUGAACCCAUGAAACGGAGGUUGCAGUGAGCUGAAAUCCCGCCAUUGCACUCCAGCCUGGGCAACAGAGUGAGACUCUGUCUCA